Molecule: unclassified non-coding RNA, 1269 nt
Filed under: Hevea brasiliensis (rubber tree)
Lineage: Eukaryota; Viridiplantae; Streptophyta; Magnoliopsida; Malpighiales; Euphorbiaceae
Source: RNAcentral
ACAAAUACUUGAUCCAAAUCUAAUUCCAAAACAAAUAUGCAACCACCACUACCAAGGAUCACUCCAAUGCCAUGAAUAAUGAAACUACAAAGGACCAAAUAAUCUUGCUCAAUAUUUCACAAUGCCAAUUUCUUCAAAUGAAGCCUCAAUCUUGUGCAAGCUGCCUCACAUUCAACGGAAAUAUAUCGUUUGAAUCACCAUCGAGCAAUCGCUUCGCUAUGAUAACAUUUGCAGCAUCAGAUGGAUGGUAAGGGUCCCAAAAGAAGAACUUCAAAUGGUCCGGGCAGACUAUCGAAGUCGGCCCACAAGGUAUCAGUCCCCCGUAUCGCCCCGCAACGAAGCAACAAGCUGAAUUCACAACUUCGAAACCAUAUGAGCUAUAAUUUUGAAUGAUAUCAGAUACAAUGCCAUAUGCAUUUCCAUAUGCAAACUGCACUCCUUGAAGAGAUGAACUAAGCUCCAUUACAAGAUCCUUUAAUCUACUAUUAAAAUUUCGGGCUAAUUGAUUCGGUAAUUCGACACAAUCGCUGCCCGAUAAUAGAUUACUGUCCCUCGAGUAUGGUAUGCAACCGAUCGGCCCAACGUUGCUUACCACAAUUUUUCGAGCAUCGAGAGAGUAGAGCCUCACUAAUUGUAGUCUGUAUUUUGUGAUCAAUUGUUGGACGUAUAUUUCGGGAGAGACUAGAAUCCUUUCGGGCAGCGAUAAUACAGGAGUAAGAUAGUUGUUGAUGAAAUCGUUCGCCCCGAUGGUGAUCGAGAAGAGGGCAGUUCUUAAUAGGUUCGUUGCUGCAGGCAUUCCGAGGCUGGUGAUUAAAUCUUGUCUUGUGUUUGCAUAAUUAUCUAAUUGUGCAUCCAUAUUUAUGCGUCCGCCAAAAAGAGAUCCAGUGUGAUUGAGAAUUCCUCCUGCUCCAGAUGCAUAAUUGACUCCAUUCAGUAUCGCGGCACCCUUAGUUGUAGGAGCUAAAUAGGGAGGGACCAAACUCUGUAAACCCAAUUCCUGGCCUAAUAUAUCAGCGAUUGUUCGACCGUUCGUGAAUCGGCCGGUUGGCUCCCCGUUUGGAGGAAGAUCAAUACCAUUUGGUCUGUAAUUAGCCCUGGAAAGAGUGGAAAUGUAGUUGUUGUUCCCCGCAUCGACCAACGAAUCCCCGAAGAUGAAGGAAGCGCUUAUCGCCCCCGAGCAAACUCGAAUUGACCAACCUCCCAUGAUUGCCGAAAGCAAGACCCAUUUGGCUAGGACAGUCGCAAUUGAACACAUUGAGCUCUGUAGAG